AGCGAACGCUGGCGGCAGGCCUAACACAUGCAAGUCGAACGAACCCUUCGGGGUUAGUGGCGGACGGGUGAGUAACACGUGGGAACGUACCUUAGGUUCGGAACAACACAGGGAAACUUGUGCUAAUGCCGAAUGUGCCCUUCGGGGGAAAGAUUUAUCGCCUUUAGAGCGGCCCGCGUCUGAUUAGCUUGUUGGUGAGGUAAAGGCUCACCAAGGCUACGAUCAGUAGCUGGUCUGAGAGGAUGAUCAGCCACACUGGGACUGAGACACGGCCCAGACUCCUACGGGAGGCAGCAGUGGGGAAUCUUGCGCAAUGGGCGAAAGCCUGACGCAGCCAUGCCGCGUGAAUGAUGAAGGUCUUAGGAUUUGUAAAAUUCUUUCACCGGGGAAGAUAAUGACGGUACCCGGAGAAGAAGCCCCGGCUAACUUCGUGCCAGCAGCCGCGGUAAU
This 450-nucleotide ribosomal RNA is filed under the name uncultured bacterium. Its description in RNAcentral is "bacterial SSU rRNA". It matches the Rfam family "Bacterial small subunit ribosomal RNA", at positions 29 to 524 of the family's 1533-position model. The record is from RNAcentral.